Molecule: ribosomal RNA, 253 nt
Filed under: uncultured bacterium
Lineage: Bacteria
Description: partial 16S ribosomal RNA
Rfam family: Bacterial small subunit ribosomal RNA
Source: RNAcentral
GACGAACUGUGCAAACGUUAUUCGGAAUCACUGGGCUUGAAGAGUGCGUAGGCGGUUUUGUAAGCCAGAUGUGAAAUCCCCGGGCUUAACCUGGGAAUGGCAUUUGGGACUGCAAGGCUCGAGUGCGGCAGAGGAGACUGGAAUUCCUGGUGUAGCAGUGAAAUGCGUAGAUAUCAGGAGGAACACCGAUGGCGAAGGCAGGUCUCUGGGCUGACACUGACGCUCAUGCACGAAAGCGUGGGGAGCAAACAGG